UACGGGGGGGGCAAGCGUUGUUCGGAAUUACUGGGCGUAAAGGGCUUGUAGGUGGCCAACUAAGUCAGACGUGAAAUCCCUCGGCUUAACCGGGGAACUGCGUCUGAUACUGGAUGGCUUGAGUGUGGGAGAGGGAUGCGGAAUUCCAGGUGUAGCGGUGAAAUGCGUAGAUAUCGGGAGGAACAUCAGUGGCGAAGGCGGCCUUCUGGUCCAGUACUGACACUCAAGUGCGAAAGCGUGGGGAGCAAACAGG
RNAcentral lists this ribosomal RNA (253 nucleotides) under uncultured bacterium. Its description in RNAcentral is "partial 16S ribosomal RNA". It matches the Rfam family "Bacterial small subunit ribosomal RNA", at positions 524 to 776 of the family's 1533-position model. The record is from RNAcentral.